Molecule: ribosomal RNA, 253 nt
Filed under: uncultured bacterium
Lineage: Bacteria
Description: partial 16S ribosomal RNA
Rfam family: Bacterial small subunit ribosomal RNA
Source: RNAcentral
UACAGAGGUCCCAAGCGUUGUUCGGAUUCAUUGGGCGUAAAGGGUGCGUAGGCGGCGCGGUAAGUCGGGUGUGAAAUCUCGGAGCUUAACUCCGAAACUGCAUUCGAUACUGCCGUGCUUGAGGACUGGAGAGGAGACUGGAAUUUACGGUGUAGCGGUGAAAUGCGCAGAUAUCAGGAGGAACACCAAUGGCGAAGGCAGCUCGCUGGGACGUGACUGACGCUGAGACGCGAAAGCGUGGGGAGCAAACAGG